RNAcentral lists this unclassified non-coding RNA (248 nucleotides) under Hevea brasiliensis (rubber tree). The record is from RNAcentral. Lineage: Eukaryota; Viridiplantae; Streptophyta; Magnoliopsida; Malpighiales; Euphorbiaceae.
CUGAUGAUACGGAGGCCAGGACACCACUGUGCGCCGGAAUGCGUCGGCUACCAGAGGUGAUAAUUUGGACAUCGGGUUUAGGUAAUUCACGAGAAAUUUGAUCGGCGAUUUGAUAAUGAGCGUUCAGGUCGCAGGGGAGGGCGGUAGCGGUAGUGGUUGCUUUAAGAGUUUCUUCCAUAGAAGGUGGAGAGGAACAGAAAACACGCCUCUUGAGUCGUUUGCUCUAUAUUGCAAUAGCAGAGGAGUUG